This 449-nucleotide ribosomal RNA is filed under the name uncultured bacterium. RNAcentral describes it as "bacterial SSU rRNA". It matches the Rfam family "Bacterial small subunit ribosomal RNA", at positions 28 to 478 of the family's 1533-position model. The record is from RNAcentral.
GAUGAACGCUGGCGGCGUGCUUAACACAUGCAAGUCGAACGGGAAAUAUUUCAUUGAGACUUCGGUGGAUUUGAUCUAUUUCUAGUGGCGGACGGGUGAGUAACGCGUGGGUAACCUGCCUUAUACAGGGGGAUAACAGUCAGAAAUGGCUGCUAAUACCGCAUAAGCGCACAGAGCUGCAUGGCUCAGUGUGAAAAACUCCGGUGGUAUAAGAUGGACCCGCGUUGGAUUAGCUAGUUGGUGGGGUAACGGCCUACCAAGGCGACGAUCCAUAGCCGGCCUGAGAGGGUGAACGGCCACAUUGGGACUGAGACACGGCCCAGACUCCUACGGGAGGCAGCAGUGGGGAAUAUUGCACAAUGGGGGAAACCCUGAUGCAGCGACGCCGCGUGAAGGAAGAAGUAUCUCGGUAUGUAAACUUCUAUCAGCAGGGAAGAUAGUGACGGUAC